This 71-nucleotide transfer RNA is filed under the name Ictidomys tridecemlineatus (thirteen-lined ground squirrel). RNAcentral describes it as "Spermophilus tridecemlineatus (thirteen-lined ground squirrel) tRNA". It matches the Rfam family "tRNA". Rfam says of the family: Transfer RNA (tRNA) molecules are approximately 80 nucleotides in length. Their secondary structure includes four short double-helical elements and three loops (D, anti-codon, and T loops). Further hydrogen bonds mediate the characteristic L-shaped molecular structure. tRNAs have two regions of fundamental functional importance: the anti-codon, which is responsible for specific mRNA codon recognition, and the 3' end, to which the tRNAs corresponding amino acid is attached (by aminoacyl-tRNA synthetases). tRNAs cope with the degeneracy of the genetic code in two manners: having more than one tRNA (with a specific anti-codon) for a particular amino acid; and 'wobble' base-pairing, i.e. permitting non-standard base-pairing at the 3rd anti-codon position. Lineage: Eukaryota; Metazoa; Chordata; Mammalia; Rodentia; Sciuridae. The record is from Rfam by way of RNAcentral.
GGGGUUGUGGCUCAACGGUAGAGCACUUGCCUGGCAUGUGUGAGGCCCUGGGUUCAAUCAUCAGCACCCCA